Molecule: long non-coding RNA, 742 nt
Filed under: Pan paniscus (pygmy chimpanzee)
Lineage: Eukaryota; Metazoa; Chordata; Mammalia; Primates; Hominidae
Description: lncRNA (ENSPPAG00000045473.1)
Source: RNAcentral
CACGGUGUCCCCAUUUGUCCUCGAGGUUCAUGGCAGGAAGCAAAUCAGACACCUGGCCCAGUCGCCUCUCUGAUAAGGAGUGGGAGAGAAUGCCAGCCAUGCAUUUCGCGACUCUCCCUCUGCUCGUUCCCAGAAGCACACAUUGAAGCUUCCUUUCCAGGGAAAGAAAAAGGCCACAUUUCUGGGAAAAAACACAGUCACUUGAAAAAUAACCAAGCACUCGCUGCACAUAAAACAUCUGCUGCGUGCAGACCACUUGGUGCAGCCACGACGCGGAGGAGAGUGAAGACGGGCAAUUCCGGGGCGGUCGUGUCAUCUUUCUGGAUCCAACCAACUUAUACGAGCUUCUUGGAUGCGAAUGAAAAUCUCGUGAAUUGUCCAGCAAGUUGACAUUCCUUUCUAGAUCCAGCACAUACAACUCUCUCCAGACAAUGAAAGGUGAGAAGGCUGGAAAGGAAACCGAAUCCUGCAGUGUCUAAUCAAUUUUAAUCGAAUCUGCUAAUUGAAUCAUCCACAUCCUUUAAAAAGGGACAUGGAAAUCAUGGAAGCAAGCCUCUGUUUUGGUGCAUUCUUCAUCCCUCAUGGCAUGUCAAAAAAAUUGAAUUUCUCACAGUGGAGAAAGAGUCUGUCAAAGUUAACUUUACCUGGAGCUAAUAAAUUAUUAUAUUUCAUCCAAAGGGUUUCCAAUAAGUAGUUAUUCAAAGACUCAAUUUUUCAAUUAAUGUCUCCAAAUGCUUUUCUG